GAGUGUCGCCGGGUGAGUACACGUGGUGAUCUGCCCUGACUUCGGGAUAAGCCUGGGAAACUGGGUCUAAUACCGGAUAGGACCACGGGAUGCAUGUCUUGUGGUGGAAAGCGCUUUAGCGGUGUG
RNAcentral lists this ribosomal RNA (126 nucleotides) under Mycobacterium tuberculosis. RNAcentral describes it as "partial 16S ribosomal RNA". The record is from RNAcentral. Lineage: Bacteria; Bacillati; Actinomycetota; Actinomycetes; Mycobacteriales; Mycobacteriaceae.